UACGAAGGGGGCUAGCGUUGCUCGGAUUCACUGGGCUUAAAGGGCGCGUAGGCGGGUUGUCAAGUCAGGGGUGAAAGCCUCCAGCUCAACUGGAGAAGUGCCUUUGAUACUGAUGAUCUUGAGGGAGGUAGGGGCAUGUGGAACUUCCGGUGGAGCGGUGAAAUGCGUAGAUAUAGGAAGGAACACCAGUGGCGAAGGCGACCACCUGGACUGAUACUGACACUGAGGUGCGAAAGCGUGGGGAGCAAACAGG
Molecule: ribosomal RNA, 253 nt
Filed under: uncultured bacterium
Lineage: Bacteria
Description: partial 16S ribosomal RNA
Rfam family: Bacterial small subunit ribosomal RNA
Source: RNAcentral